UUUAACCUGUUGGAGCCAGGUGUGCUGGGAACUGCCCAUUGGUUCGACAUCCCAUUGUUCCGACCAUAUUAAACUCAUUGUUCCGAAGUCUGUUCCGAAAUCAUCGGAAAUAACGUUUCCAUUUUAAAGUCAAGCCUCCCUGCUAAAAGUCUCAUCGUGUGUGAGGGCUUUGGGAGGAAAUAACCGUGCUAACGCUACACUUGCUAACGUUAUGCCAACGUCACUAGUUAGCUCCCGUUUCCAUGGCUUCCCAAUGUAUUUACUUUGUGCUGAGGUGCGGGGGAUCGCAGCUUCAGUCCACCCACUGUAAUAAAGCUCAAAACACAGGGGUGUGAAGGGAAAUGGACUGGGCGUCAGUGACACCAAACCCACAUCUGACACCUGAUAAGAAGCUUGAGCGUGGCAGGGACACCAGCAGGCAUGGAGCCAAAGAUACUCCAGCGGCAGCACAUUCAUGAUGAGAGGUUGAGAGUGCUGAGAGAAGGAGUCAAUGCAGAGAUGAGCACUACUGCUGCAGCAAAGAGGGUCAGUAAGUUUACAGCCAAAGGAGGGAGGGAAGGAUUUACACACACGCACACACAUGCAGGGUUGAAAAUACAGAGAAGAGGAGG
Molecule: long non-coding RNA, 611 nt
Organism: Epinephelus fuscoguttatus (brown-marbled grouper)
Lineage: Eukaryota; Metazoa; Chordata; Actinopteri; Perciformes; Serranidae
Exons: 3
Source: RefSeq, a predicted model, not a curated record